Calypte anna (Anna's hummingbird) is the source of this 132-nucleotide non-coding RNA. The record is from Rfam. NCBI's taxonomy places the organism in Eukaryota, Metazoa, Chordata, Aves, Apodiformes, Trochilidae.
UUGCACAGUGAACACCCAAGUGUGCUCUGUAGUUCCCUUGGUUUCAGUCCUGUGCUAGAGCAAUCUGUACUUUUCCUCUGCAUUGGAAGGAUUUGCAUUCCUUUUACGUGUAUUCAGAAGGACAGCACAUUC